Molecule: unclassified non-coding RNA, 474 nt
Filed under: Hevea brasiliensis (rubber tree)
Lineage: Eukaryota; Viridiplantae; Streptophyta; Magnoliopsida; Malpighiales; Euphorbiaceae
Source: RNAcentral
AAGCAGGGCCACUUUGUUUCUUCACGUAAGAAACAAUACCAUCCGCCUCACGUGGUCCUUUGUAAUCUUGAACAACGCUACCUCCAUACCUCAAGAUCUUAAGUGUGGGAAAACCUUUUAUGUCGAACUCACUGGCAAGAGCCUUGUUUUGCUCCUCAUUGGCAUCAACUUUGGCAAGAACAACUGGUGGAUCAUUCUGGCUUAAAAUUUCCGCUGCUUUCUCAUAUUCUGGAACAAGCUUCUUGCAGUGACCACACCAAGGGGCGUAGAACUCGACGACGAUGAAUUUGUGUCGACCUACAAAAUCAGAGAAAUUGGAGUGAUCUAAAGUCACAACGAACUCCUUCGAUUGAGUGUCUUCGUUCUCAGAAGCGUAAGAUUCCGAUCCUAACAAUGCGAAUACACAUAGAAAUAACGAAAUCCAAACCCUAAUCGCCAUUUUUAUCACUCUUUUCUCUCUCAGCUCACUGAAAA